This 1481-nucleotide ribosomal RNA is filed under the name uncultured Bordetella sp. Its description in RNAcentral is "partial 16S-23S ribosomal RNA intergenic spacer". It matches the Rfam family "Bacterial small subunit ribosomal RNA". Lineage: Bacteria; Pseudomonadati; Pseudomonadota; Betaproteobacteria; Burkholderiales; Alcaligenaceae. The record is from RNAcentral.
CAACUUCAAGUACUGUGCAGGAUUUAUAUGUUCGAUCAUGGCUCAGAUUGAACGCUGGCGGGAUGCUUUACACAUGCAAGUCGAACGUUCGGCACGGACUUCGGUCUGGUGGCGAGUGGCGAACGGGGUGAGAAUGGAACGUGCCCAGUGGGGAUAAUCACGCCGGUGCAAUAUUACCGCAUAAUAGCCCUUCGGGGGAAAGCGGGGGACCUUUUCGGGUUUCGCACUAUUAGGACGCGGCUGAUAUCGGAUUAGCUAGUUGGUGGGUAACGGUCACCGAGAGUGACGAUCCGUAGCUGGUUUGAGAGGACGACCAGCCACACUGGACCCGAGACACGAGCCCAGACUCCUACGGAGGUGCAGUGGGAACGGUUGGGAAACCUUGAUCACAGCCAUCCCGCGUGUGCGAUGAAGGCCUUCGAGGUUGUAAAGCACUUUUGGCAGGAGUUAACGGCACGGGAUAAUACCCCGUGCACCAUUUUUCACCUGUAGAAUGGCACUCAGCGACCGAUGCGCCAGCAGCCGGUGGUAGAAUAUAAAAAGCGUUAAUCGGAAUUACUGGGCGUAAAGCGUGGCAGGCGGUCGGAAAGAAAGAUGGGAAAUCCCAGAGCUUAACUUUGGAACUGUAUUUUAACCACUUAGCUUAGAGUGUGUCAGAGGGAGGUGGAAUCGCGUAGCAGCAAUGGAGAUGGCGGAGGAACACCGAUGGCGAAGGCAGCCUCCUGGGAUAACACUGAUGUCAUGUAUCGAAAGCGUGGGGAGCAAACAGGAUUAGAUACCCCCGGUAGUCCACGCCCUAAAUGAUGUCAACUAGCUGUUGGGGCCUUCGGGGCCUUGGUAGCGCAGCUAACGCGUGAAGUUGACCGCCUGGGGAGUACGGUCGCAAGAUUAAAACUCAAAGGAAUUGACGGGGACCCGCACAAGCGGUGGAUGAUGUGGAUUAAUCUUUUGAUGCAACGCGAAAACCUUACCACUCUUCGACAUGUCUGGAAUCCCGAAGAGAUUUGGGAGGCCUGCAAGAGAACGAACACAGGAAGCAUGGUUGCCGCCAGCUCGUGUCGAGAUGUUGGGUUAAGUCCCGUAAAUGAGCGGCAACCCUUGUCAUUAGUUGCUACGAAAGGGCACUCUAAUGAGAGACUGCCGGUGACAAAUGGAGGAAGGUGGGGAUGACGUCAAGUCCUCAUGGCCCUUAUGGGUAGGGCUUCACACGUCAUACACAUGGCCGGGACAGAGGGUCGCCAACCCGCGAGAGCCAAUCCCAGAAACCCGAUCGUAGUCCGGAUCGCAGUCUGCAACCUCACACUCGUGGGUCGGAAUCGCUAGUAAUCGCGGAUCAGCAUGUCGCGGUGAAUACGUUCCCGGUCUUGUACACACCGCCCGUCACACCAUGGGAGUGGUUUUACCAGAAGUAGUUAGCCUAACCGUAAGGAGGGCGAUUACCACGGUAGGAUUCAUGAUCAGUAGCGCUCGCAAUAAGGUAG